CCUACGGGAGGCAGCAGUGGGGAAUAUUGCACAAUGGGGGAAACCCUGAUGCAGCGACGCCGCGUGAGUGAAGAAGUAUUUCGGUACGUAAAGUUCUAUCAGCAGGGAAGAAAAUGACGGUACCUGACUAAGAAGCCCCGGCUAACUACGUGCCAGCAGCCGCGGUAAUACGUAGGGGGCAAGCGUUAUCCGGAUUUACUGGGUGUAAAGGGAACGUAGACGGCAGCACAAGUCUGGAGUGAAAUCCCGGGGCUUAACCCCGGAACGGCUUUGGAGACUGUGCGGCUGGAGUGCAGGAGGGGUAAGCGGAAUUCCUGGUGUAGCGGUGAAAUGCGUAGAUAUUAGGAGGAACACCGGUGGCGAAGGCGGCUUACUGGACUGUAACUGACGUUGAGGCUCGAAAGCGUGGGGAGCAAACAGGAUUAGAUACCCUUGUAGUC
Molecule: ribosomal RNA, 440 nt
Filed under: uncultured bacterium
Lineage: Bacteria
Description: partial 16S ribosomal RNA
Rfam family: Bacterial small subunit ribosomal RNA
Source: RNAcentral